CGAAGAGAGUCUUGUAGACCAUGGUAGCCUGGUAUUUGGUGCCCAGCCCGGGGCGGGCGGCAAGGAGUUUGCGGACUGACAGAGCGCACUGGGCGCUGGUAGCGACUCCUCUGCCGGGUGGGCUGCGGUGGGAGCCGGGAGGCGCGAACAGCUCCAGUGGAGGGCGCGAGGCAAACGAGGCGAACGCAGCGCAGCUCCGUCAGCUGCGUGCCCUCCGGUGCUCCGCGCUCUUCUGCUCCAUCCCAGCCGCCCGAGCCCGGGGCCGCCUCCGCCUCCGCCGCCGCCGCCGCGCCUGCCGCUGCCAAACCCCUCCCACCCGGGCCCCGCGGCGAUGACUGGGCCACCCCCUGGCCUUCCUUCUCUCAGCCCUCAGGUCCCGAGAGCCCCGGCCCAGAGCGGCCUCUGCUGGACAGUCAAGACACGAGACCCUGGGUUCAGCAAAUGUUUGCAGCGCCUUGCACUGUGCUGGGAACUAGGGAUGCAAAGAAAUGUGAGCACAUCUCUGCCCUUAGGAAUCUAGCUCAGCUUUUCCUACAUGAGCUUACAGCCUUUAAAAAGGUGACCUUAUGCCAUUUUAGGAGUUCCCUCGGAGAACCGGCACAUGUUCCAAGAAUGAGGACCUUCUUCAUUUGUCAAAACACUUCUGCGUGUACAUCAUUAAACCCUCAUCCACAUUAAACCCGGCUGAGCUUCCUGGGGCCCGAACCAGGAUGUCUGCCGCUGCAUUCAGCUUCUUACUAGAAGAAAAUACUGUCGGGGGGAUAACUAAGCCAGACACCCUACUAGGCGUUGUUUCAUGAAUCCUUCUAAGAAUUAUUAUUAUUCCAUUUUACAGGUGAGAAAAUGAAGGCACAGAGAAGACAAUGUUCUCAAGGUCGCAUAACUGGUCUUUGGAUCAACUCUUUCAACCAAUUGCCAGUUGGAAAAUCUUUGAAUUCACCUAUGACCUGGAAGCUCCUAGUUUGAGUUGUCCUGCUUUUCCGGACCAAAACAAUGUACGUCUUACAUGUAUUGACUGAUGUCUUCUGUCUCCCUAAAACAUAUGAAACCAAGUCGUGUCCUGAACUACUUUGGGCACAUGCUCUCAGGAUCUCCUGAGGCUGUGUCAUGGACAUGUCCCUAACCUUGGCAAAAUAAACUUCUAAACUGAUGAAGACUUGUCUCAAAUACCUUUUGGUUUACAGCCCUGACAAUAUUUCGGGAAGGAAGAAACUCCUUCUUGGAUGUGACGCACAUAAUGAAAUCUUCUAUUUAAACUAGUGUAAAA
Molecule: long non-coding RNA, 1267 nt
Filed under: Homo sapiens (human)
Lineage: Eukaryota; Metazoa; Chordata; Mammalia; Primates; Hominidae
Description: HSALNT0320304
Source: RNAcentral